UACGUAGGCAGCAAGCGUUGUUCGGAGUUACUGGGCGUAAAGAGUGCGUAGGUGGUUUUCUAAGUUCGGUGUGAAAUCUCCCGGCUCAACCGGGAGGGUGCGCCGAAAACUGGAAGACUUGAGUGCGGGAGAGGAGAGCGGAAUUCCUGGUGUAGCGGUGAAAUGCGUAGAUAUCAGGAGGAACACCUGUGGUGCAGACGGCUCUCUGGACCGCCACUGACACUGAGGCACGAAAGCGUGGGGAGCAAACAGG
RNAcentral lists this ribosomal RNA (253 nucleotides) under uncultured bacterium. RNAcentral's name for it is "partial 16S ribosomal RNA". It matches the Rfam family "Bacterial small subunit ribosomal RNA", at positions 524 to 776 of the family's 1533-position model. The record is from RNAcentral.